This 72-nucleotide transfer RNA is filed under the name Sphaerodactylus townsendi. Its description in RNAcentral is "tRNA-Gly". It matches the Rfam family "tRNA". Rfam says of the family: Transfer RNA (tRNA) molecules are approximately 80 nucleotides in length. Their secondary structure includes four short double-helical elements and three loops (D, anti-codon, and T loops). Further hydrogen bonds mediate the characteristic L-shaped molecular structure. tRNAs have two regions of fundamental functional importance: the anti-codon, which is responsible for specific mRNA codon recognition, and the 3' end, to which the tRNAs corresponding amino acid is attached (by aminoacyl-tRNA synthetases). tRNAs cope with the degeneracy of the genetic code in two manners: having more than one tRNA (with a specific anti-codon) for a particular amino acid; and 'wobble' base-pairing, i.e. permitting non-standard base-pairing at the 3rd anti-codon position. Lineage: Eukaryota; Metazoa; Chordata; Lepidosauria; Squamata; Sphaerodactylidae. The record is from RNAcentral.
GCAUUGGGGGUUCAGUGGUAGAAUUCUCACCUGCCAUGUGGGAAGCUUGGGUUUGAUUUCCCCACAAAUACA